Molecule: long non-coding RNA, 6419 nt
Organism: Gasterosteus aculeatus aculeatus (three-spined stickleback)
Lineage: Eukaryota; Metazoa; Chordata; Actinopteri; Perciformes; Gasterosteidae
Source: Ensembl
UAUUAUAUAUAUAUAUAAUAAUAUAAUAUACACACAUAUAUUAUGGUUAUAUAUAAUAACAUAUGUGUGUAUAUUAUAUAUAUAUAAUAAUAUAAUAUACACACAUAUGUUAUGGUUAUAUAUAAUAAUAUGUGGUAUAUUAUUUUAUAUUAGUCCAUUGUCGUGAUGAAGGACACUCGACCCAGCAGGUGCUGCACCAUCAGCUUGCUUCCUGUCACCUGACCUGUGUUCCUAUAGGACGCACUGGGUAAGGAAGCAUCCUUUCCUAACCACUUAUCCUUGACCUCUGUGGGAAACGUCACUGGGUCAAGGAGAGUGACCUUGGUGAUCAACCUUAAAAGGUUCUUCUUGAAUCAUCGUGUGGGAUCACCUCUCUGAAGAACCCUGAGAACCCUGAAGAGCCCGUUCACUCUACCUGAAGUGUUUCCCAGCAGACGGAGGGACUUGGACCUCUAAUCUCCAGACACGUCCACACACGAUGGAAACAUCAAGGAAACCCUGCAGGAGUCCAGAUUACAGGAAGCAUACCUGUCAUCAGCCCCGACACACACACACACACACACAUGCACACACACGCACACGCGCACACGCGCACACGCACACACACACACACACACGGUUCCAGAGGUUUGUUAUCUCUGGAGGCUCCUCUUGUGUCAGGAGGUGUGAGAGUCGGUGUUCCAGAGCGAGAGCGCCACUUCUCCUCCAGACGCUCAGUGUUCGCUUCACCUCAGGAGGCUUCAACACGCACACGUGCACAUGUGUGUGUAUAUAUAUAUAUGUGCAUAUAUGUGUAUAUAUAAUGUUUUACUGCCUCUUGCAGGAACGUGACCGGGUUCUUUUGGGCCCACUGACCACACACGUUCCACCGAUGGGGGUCGCACAGCGAGUGUGUGUGUGUGUGUGUGUGUGUGUGUGUGUGAGUGUUUUGUGGCAUUCUAGAGAGAGAGAGAGAGAGAGAGAGAGAGAGAGUGGGUGUGGGAAAGACCUGCUCGCCCAUCUCAGAGUCUCCACACACACACACAAGUACACACAACGACACACUCUGUCAGCUGAUAUCCAACUCCCCCAACUCUCCCAGGACUUUAUCUGCUUGUGUGUCUGUCCAGUCUAUGUGUAGACCUGAUCCUCCAUGAACCAGUCUAUGUGUAGACCUGAUCCUCCAUGAACCAGUCUAUGUGUAGACCUGAUCCUCCAUGAACCAGUCUAUGUGUAGACCUGAUCCUCCAUGAACCAGUCUAUGUGUAGACCUGAUCCUCCAUGAACCAGUCUAUGUGUAGACCUGAUCCUCCAUGAACCAGUCUAAUCAGGAACAUUUAUCACCAUAAUGUGUCAGACAUACGAGGAAGUUGACUUGGCGGUUGGUGCCUAACAUGACAACAUGACAACAUGUUAAGAGAGAAACCCCAAUGUAAGACAAGGUCAGAGGUCCCCUAGGUUACUACUUCCCAGUUGUUGAUGUUGUUGGAGGUGGUGCGUUCAGGUGCUCGUGGGACAGUGGGAAACAACCCCCACGCUUCUCCCCUGCGGUCCCGUGGCGUUCCCAGGGUGUUUGACCCGGCUCCGCCCCCCUCACUGCUUCCUGCCCUCUGCUGCAGCUACAGAGGCUCUUAUUGUGGCGGGGCCUACGCCUGUCACUACCCAUCACACACAAAUACCAGCACACGCACACACAGGCGUUUCAAAAAUGCACAUACAUGCAGACAGUUACUCUGUCGCAACGUUUAGUUUUCUUGUCUAAAGUUUAUCUAAUGUUCCUCAAAGUAUCGAGCCAGCAAGCUACAAACACAAAGCACCACUUACACUCUUUCACAGCGGUUUACUGUAAAUUUGCCUCUUUUUUAUGUAAAUAUUGGUUCAAAAAAAAAGAUGAUGACGGAGGGAAACCAAGCUGGCGAGUGUGUGUGUGUCAUUAUAUCUCUCCUGGUCAACAGUGACUGUGAGUGAUUCUCAGCGUUGUCACAGACUGUGUGUGUUCGGCCUCAGAGGGCUUUACAGUCUGUACACAUACGACAUCCUCUGUCCGAAACCUCCAUCAGCACACGAAAAACUCCCCAAACGUUUGGUUGGUUCAUCCAACACUUAACUGUGUAGGAGACUUUAUUUAUGCGUCUGUCUUUGUUUUAUAUGCACCUUUUAAUAAAGAAGCUCUUAUAAAACCAGGUUCUAUAUGUGAAUUAAAGAAAAACAUCAGACCAUAUAAUGUCCUCUGAUACUUUGCUGUUGCAGUAAAACUACCGAGCAUUUAUUUUAAAGCAAACUGGAGCAAUUUAAAUGACGUAGUAUUUAUUCUGUAAUUCUGUGAUAUUUUUAAUAUUUGAAUGAAUUCCUGACUGGGAUCUAAUAAGCAUGGCCAUUGUAGAGGCACACUUCACAUACCUGAAAAAAUGACUUUCUGUCUCUGCAGAGUGCAGGACUCCCUCCUCUGGGGGCCGCGGCCCCCAAAGGCCCCCAGAGACCACGUGGAACAUAAAGCUGCAUUGGUGGAAAUUAGAUGGACUGUUUACCUAUUUUAAGGUUUAGUCAUUCAUAAUAUUGCGAAUAUCAUCUAGAUUUUCCGCUCUCUUCACUGGUACCGGUGGCUCAUCCAGUUCUAAACAUGGUGCUCAGGUACCAGGCUGUGAAUGGAUCCAGCUUCCAUCCAGGACCUGGUCCAACCCGACAUCCCGACCUCUGACCUCUCCGCUCUGCAUGUGAUAAACUGCUUGUUCCUCCUCACUGAGAGCAAAACCCUCGACUAGAUCUCCACUCUUUGCUGUCCUGCUCCUAAAUGGAGGAAGGAGGUCUCUGAAGACAUCAGGACCACAGAGAGCCUUCACAUCUUCAGACUAAAGACACACCUCUUCAGACUCUACCUCCACUAACACACUAACUAACUGCAGCACUUACAUUGGACUUAUAAUGGUUCUUAUCUACAGCGAGUUGUAAACUGGCUUAUUUGAUGAAAUCGCACUUUCUUGUUUCUUGUUCUUCUGAGUUUGUGUCUUUAUGGUUAAAUGUUCUUAUUGUAAGUCGCUUUGGAUAAAAGCGUCAGAUAAACGACAUGUCAUUUUAAAUCAGUUUUCCACAGUUCUGGUCCAAAUGUCAGCUACAUAAAACACAGAAAACCGAAUUACAAACAUUAAUAUAAAUGUUAACGAGUGACUUUGUGUGUUUUAGUGUUAAAAUAAAUCCUUCCGUUAACAAACCCCCCUUUGGGGCUCAGUGAUUCAAAAUGACGUCAUAUUUUAAUUCCAUAUAAAUUAAGUCUAUAAAUACACAUUAUACUACUUUAAUACGUUCUGGUAUAUUGUUAUCACUAAGAAUCUGAAAUGUCUAUUAACGUUUUAAUGUAGUUUCGAUAAAGAUGGAAAAAAUAAAGAGCUUCGACCGGAAACGGAAAUAGGUGGUUGUUUUCUUCUUCUCUCCAGCAGGGACGCGACAUAAAAUGGAGCACAAGCUGAUCCUGGCGGUGUCCGGCUUCCCGAGUCUCUACGACACCAACUCCCCGACCUACCGGGACCUCAACAUGCGGGCCGACUCCUGGCGACACGUCUCGGACAUCGUCGGUGUCCCCGAGGCAGAAUGCCGGAGGAAGUGGAAGACGCUGCGGGACCAGCACCGCAGGGAGAGGCAGCGGGAGAAGGACCGGCGGGAGAGCGGCAUCGGCCUCUUCAACUACCGGCCCUGGAGAUAUUCGGCCAUCUUGUCCUUUCUGAACCCGUUCAUCGACGCCAGAGCCGCGGGCUGCAACGGGUGGGCUCUGGACCCUCAGCCCCCCCAGCUCCACCCCUCUGAGACGGGCUGCAGCACCACCACGGACACCCGGAGCGACGACGAAGACCACUACGGUCUGUUCUACUCAGAAGGACCCGACGUCUCCGUAGUCGACGCCACAACAACCACCACCUCCUCCUCCUCCUCCUCGGAGUUCCUCCACAGGAAGCGUCCGUCUUCUGCCAGCAGAGACGGCGCCAUCGGGUUCAAGGAGGCGAAGAUGGAGUCAACCUCGGGGAUCGCCUGCGUUACGACGACGCCGCACGACAACAUGAGGGAGCUCUUUGAGGUGAUGAUGCAGUCGGUCACGUCUCUCGCCGCCUCCUUGGCCUCUUCCUCGGAUCAGCCUCCUCGUCCCGACCUCCGUCACCUCCCGCCACACCGAGCCCCCCCCGUGCCGCCCUGCACCGCGUCUAGGCUCAACCACUUGAAAACAGAGGAGCAGGAGGCCGUAGCGGCAGAGCUUCUGGACGACCGAACCGACGCCGAGGAGGAGGAGGAGGAGGAGGAGGCGUCCACUAGGCCGACCCGAGCCAGGAGCUGGAGCAGCGACGGCCUGCUGCAGGAGUACGUGAGGAGGAUGGAGGCCAGGGAGGCCCAGAGAGACCGGGACCUGGACCAGAGAGACCAUGUGACCCUGUUCCUCCUGAGCCUGGCUCCGGCCAUGAGGAGACUUCCUGCUGAGAAGCAGUCGUGGGUCAGGACCAAGAUGCAGCAGCUGCUGCACGAGGCCGAGUUCGGCGCUUUGAGUUUUCAGUGAUCCUUACAUGUUUUACAUUUUUAUCAAUACUUGUGAACUAAAAAAUAUAUUCACCUUCGAAGGAGUUUUUCUCCAUUUCUAUGAUAAUCUAACAGGUUUGUGCAGUUUUUUAAAAUAAAAACCCCAUUGUCAGUCAUUCCUAUCUUAUAUAUGAAUUAUUAAUGGAAAGUCAAACCACUUAUCCUGCACACGGGGUCGCGGGGGGGCAGGAGUCUGUCCCAGCCAACUUCAGGCGAUAGACGGGUUCAUCCCGACUGGUCACCAGCCCGCAGGGCCACACAGAGACGCACAACCAUCCGCCCAAAUGACAUUAAUCUUUAUUUAUCGGGACCGUUUUAAUGAUCAUAAAUAUACUAAACAAAUACAUAUAUACAUGGAAGAGGGAGGAUGAAGAUGAUGAACAGGGGGAGGAAGAGGAGGAGCUGGAAGACGCCAGCCCGGAAUCAUCCACCAACAACAAGCCUCUGACCGCCGGAGUGGGAAUGAUGGAGGCGGAGGAGGGCGGCGCUGCUCACAGCAACAUGGCGGACAACAAAGCUCACGGUUCAGGGUGAACCGGCUCCUCCGUGCACGGCACCAUGGACCGGGUGCACCACUCCCACGAAGCCUACAGCAGCAACGACCCGCACGGCCCCUUCCCGGACUACCGAGCCGGCUACGGGAGCAGGGGAUACGGGGCCACGAUGAGUCCCGGAGGUAGUCUGACGGGUCCCGGCGGCUCUGCUAAAGCAGCUGUGCUAGCUAGCGGCGGCAACGACGGGGGGUUGCAGCGGUUUCCCGGUCGGCAGCAGCUCCCCUCCGGGGCCACACCGACUCUGAAUCAGCUGUUGACGUCCCCGAGUCCGGUGAUGCGAGGCUACAGAGCUGGAUACCCGGAUUACAACAACCCUCCUGCGCAGCUACAGGCUAGCACGGGGCUAGCUGAGGAGACGAGCUCGGCUGCGCACGGAUGGGAAGGACAACAGGGAAGUCUCCCGACCACGAGCACGGGGGACACCCGUCGUAAACUCGUCUGACUACCGGUAAUCAGAGAAAGUCAUCUUACUGCAGCUAACAUGCUAACUCAGCCAGUUAGCCGCUAUGCUAGCCGAGAUAAGUUAGCCGAUUGGCUAGGUGGGGUACUUUAUCCGUUUCCACUGCAGACAGUUAAGUUACUUAUUCACACACCCAGUCAUUCUUACGACCAUAGUGUAAAUAAGUAGACGGCCGUUCAUUCAACCGCAAAUAACUGCCGUGAAAGUCAAAGUCAUUGUUUCGAUUCCGUGUCCAAGGUGACACCGUUGUUAGCAUGCUAAGGUAAUGUAAGCUACUGUUGCACAGGUGUUCCGGUGUGGGGGCUUUUGUUGUGAAGGGGGAGAGGAAGUUGGUGUGGUGUUGAACUGGGGCUGUUGAAAGAAGGAAGGAGGAAUAAAUGUUCUGCGCCGGUUCGGCUUUUAUUAUCUACACAAAUUAUAGGGGCACCCGAACCCCUCGGCUACAGUAACAUUAACUUCAGCUUUUGGUAUUUGCUGCCGACGCGAUGGCAGAUGUGUGUGUGUGUGUGUGUGUGUAGUUGCGUUGCUCUAUUGUCUGAGUAAAUUGACCGUAAUUACCGUUUUUCUCGGAUGUCCGUCUUCUUUGAUGUGUGGCAUCCAGUAGUGAUCGCAAAGUGAAGCUUUCCAGCCAACUGUAUCGGAAAAAGGUUCAUUCAUUCAAUGCAUCGCAAACUCUAUGAUGACGUCUGCUGUUGAAAACUUGUAGUGCAAAUGUAUCGCCUACCAGUAUAUUUGGGCCCAAUCUCUGAUUAUGAAAAGUUGAACCAAUAAAUCAUCUAAUAAAUACAUGGAUUCCUAUAUGAAUAAAAAUAUUGUUUUUCGAGUUUGAAUUGUGUCCUUGUUUGUGUAUUUCAAUUCUCUGUACAUUG